GCUGCCUUAGCUCAGCUGGUAGAGCAACUGACUUGUAAUCAGUAGGUCGUGGGUUCGACUCCUACAGGCAGCA
Molecule: transfer RNA, 73 nt
Filed under: Leptospiraceae bacterium
Lineage: Bacteria; Pseudomonadati; Spirochaetota; Leptospiria; Leptospirales; Leptospiraceae
Description: tRNA-Thr
Rfam family: tRNA
About the family: Transfer RNA (tRNA) molecules are approximately 80 nucleotides in length. Their secondary structure includes four short double-helical elements and three loops (D, anti-codon, and T loops).
Source: RNAcentral